GAUGAACGCUGGCGGCGUGCCUAAUACAUGCAAGUCGAGCGAACAGACGAGAGUGCUUGCACUCUCUGACGUUAGCGGCGGACGGGUGAGUAACACGUGGGUAACCUACCUAUAAGACUGGGAUAACUUCGGGAAACCGGAGCUAAUACCGGAUAAUAUUUAGCUUCGCAUGAAGCAAUAGUGAAAGACGGUUCUGCUGUCACUUAUAGAUGGACCCGCGGUGUAUUAGCUAGUUGGUGAGGUAACGGCUCACCAAGGCAACGAUACAUAGCCGACCUGAGAGGGUGAUCGGCCACACUGGGACUGAGACACGGCCCAGACUCCUACGGGAGGCAGCAGUAGGGAAUCUUCCGCAAUGGACGAAAGUCUGACGGAGCAAUGCCGCGUGAGUGAAGAAGGUAUUCGGAUCGUAAAACUCUGUUGUAAGGGAAGAACAAGUACGUUAGUAACUGAACGUACCUUGACGGUACCUUACCAGAAAGCCACGGCUAACUACGUG
This 499-nucleotide ribosomal RNA is filed under the name uncultured bacterium. RNAcentral describes it as "partial 16S ribosomal RNA". It matches the Rfam family "Bacterial small subunit ribosomal RNA", at positions 28 to 507 of the family's 1533-position model. The record is from RNAcentral.